UAAUACGUAGGAGGCGAGCGUUAUCCGGAUUUACUGGGCGUAAAGCGGACGCAGGCGGCCUUUCAAGUCGGAUGUAAAAUCUCCUGGCUCAACCAGGAGGGACCAUUCGAUACUGUUGGGCUAGAGGGCAGCAGGGGGAGGUGGAAUUCCCGGUGUAGUGGUGAAAUACGUAGAUAUCGGGAGGAACACCAGUGGCGAAGGCGGCCUCCUGGGCUGUUUCUGACGCUGAGGUCCGAAAGCGUGGGUAGCGAACAGGAUUAGAUACCCUGGUAGUCAACGCCCUAAACGAUGGACACUAGGUAUGGGGAGUAUCGACCCUCUCCGUGCCGAAGCUAACGCGUUAAGUGUCCCGCCUGGGGACUACGGCCGCAAGGCUA
Molecule: ribosomal RNA, 377 nt
Filed under: uncultured Chloroflexota bacterium
Lineage: Bacteria; Bacillati; Chloroflexota
Description: bacterial SSU rRNA
Rfam family: Bacterial small subunit ribosomal RNA
Source: RNAcentral